CCUACGGGAGGCAGCAGUGGGGAAUUUUCCGCAAUGGGCGAAAGCCUGACGGAGCAAUACCGCGUGAGGGAGGAAGGCUCUUGGGUUGUAAACCUCUUUUCUCAGGGAAGAAUAWUGACGGUACCUGAGGAAUAAGCAUCGGCUAACUCCGUGCCAGCAGCCGCGGUAAUACGGAGGAUGCAAGCGUUAUCCGGAAUUAUUGGGCGUAAAGCGUCUGUAGGKGGAUAUUCAAGUCUGCUGUCAAAUCCCGGGGCUCAACCCUGGAAAGGCGGUGGAAACUGAAAAUCUAGAGUGCGGUAGGGGCAGARGGAAUUCCCAGUGUAGCGGUGAAAUGCGUAGAGAUUGGGAAGAACACCGGUGGCGAAAGCGCUCUGCUGGGCCUGCACUGACACUAAGGGACGAAAGCUAGGGGAGCGAAUGGGAUUAGAUACCCCAGUAGUCCUAGCCGUAAACGAUGGACACUAGGUGUUGCGCGUAUCGACCCGUGCAGUGCCGUAGCCAACGCGUUAAGUGUCCCGCCUGGGGAGUACGCUCGCAAGAGUGAAACUCAAAUG
Molecule: ribosomal RNA, 554 nt
Filed under: uncultured bacterium
Lineage: Bacteria
Description: bacterial SSU rRNA
Rfam family: Bacterial small subunit ribosomal RNA
Source: RNAcentral